UAUUCUGUCUUCAUUGACAUGAUGCAUUUUGUACAGUACAGACCUGAAACCACUGCAGCUUGCUGUGUGCACGCUUAGCUGCUUUGCUGAAUGAGGCUGGGAAUGUUAUGUCAUUAAGUCGUCCCCAUUUGAGGUAGAUUUUGCUUUUCUCCACCUGCAUCCUUUGGCUUCAGGCUUAUGAGAUAUGUAGUAUCAGACUUUAAAAAAGGAAUUUGCAUGUGACUUUUCUUGGGAACAGAAGAUGCAAGAAUUACUUUGUAUAAUAUUUAAGUGAUGAAACCAAGAUUAAUUUCUGUAUCCUAAAGCAAAUCACGAGUGUUGUUUUUAUAGCAGGAGCUAUAAACUACAAAACAAAACUACUUCUUUGUAGCAAAGAGAACUAUAAGUAAGCAAUGGACAACAAUGGUUACAAAAGAGGAAAAAAAAGGUCAGCAAAACAAGAAGCAAACUUCUGUCUAGGGUGAGGAAAGAAGCGUAAAGUGGUAGUCUCUAAAAUAAAAAGAAUGUCAGCUGUGCUGCUGCAGUAGCCUCAAAAGACAACAUGCAAGUGCUUGGCAGGAGGUGAGAGGAGCCAAGCUGCAGUGGUGGCUAGCGGAGAGAAGAAGACACGGAUAACAGCAUGAAUCACUGAUGAGAUGUGAUUUAUAAAAGCCUUCGAUACCGUCAGCUGGGGCCGAAGGCUCUCAGAGCAAUGCCGGACUGGCCCGCCUGGUGGCAAACUGCUUUCACUGGAAGUGCCUCUCCGUUUAGGAGGUUUGGGAACGACAAACGUGCUCACUGGGACUUCAGACUUGUAACUCUAGAGUGACUCAGCUGACCUGGGUGAACAUCCACUGGAACCAUGCUAGCUGGAAACCAGCCUGGGUGUGCCCUCUCGCUCCUACCACCAGGGAACUUCUUUUGCUGUGCUGUAGCAAUGGGAGGUGGAGACACCUCGAGGAGAACGUCGAAACAGACAACAGCAAUUACAGUCAAUAACAUCUAUGACUUGAGAAAAUCUUGCCUCAAUUACAGAAACCUCAGGAGGACUGUCCACCUUUCAAAUCUGUUUUGAUGUGUUUUAAAUGCAUGAUAUGGAGCACAGCCACUCUCAGUAGGUUGCGGAAAGAGGACAUAAAAUCAUAAUGUGUCUUCGGGGGGGUUUGGCUGCCUGUGUUCAAGGUCUGCCCUGAUACGGUGGAGUGUAACCUGGCAUCAGAGUGCUGUGAAAAGAGCUGUGUGCCAAAGAGCUGAGAGAAGCCUGCUGGGGCCUUCCCACUUCCCUUGGGAGCCACGGCACAGAACUGCUCUUGUCCUCAGUCCUCAUCUGGGGCAGGCCGUAGGGAUGUCCGUGUCUGGCUUUGGACCUUGCUCCUGACCCUGACUUGACUUUCUGGUUUGGCCUCAGACCUGGCUCAUCCCUACAGGCUUGUCUGACGGUCACUGGGCUCCUGGCAAAUGUGGUUGCUGUCACUGGACCUGCUCUGCUCUUCUUGCGUGGUCACUGUGGCACUGUGCCCCUUUACACUGAGGUCCUUUCCCUGUGUCCCUCACUCAGCCCGGCCCGCCUCCACUCCUCGUGCUCCCCAGGCUCCUCUGCCGCUGCUGUGCUGCCCUGCUCCCGGCAUUGGCCGCAGCCUUUUAGACACAGCAUCUCCAUCCGUCUGAGAAGUCAGAGAGUAAAGGGGCAGUGAUACGAGAGACAGUGUGGGAUCAUGCUGGUUUAUUGCUAUGACAAAUAAGAAGGAUGUGGCAUUAGCUUUGCCUCCCUUCAUUUCCAACUUCCUGAAAAGACAAACUGAAAAUUGGGUCUGUUGGACUCGGACUGCCAAGAAAACAGCCGGCAGGAGGAGCUCUCUAGACGUUUCGCCGGAUCAUUUUCGGACAGUCAUAGCUGCAUGUUUCAAGGGCAUCACUUUAGAUCUACUUUCUUGGGACUUCCUUGCAGACAAACCAGCAGCAACAGAAGACAGAGGCAAGUUCCUGGUAUUGCAGCUGAGCAGCUCCAGUGAAUUUUUUUUUUUUUUGAGACUUCUCAGAUUCCUUUUCCUACCAUGAUAUCUUUCUCUGUCGCUGUUUCAGAAAGUGUUUCAGAAGUGUUCCUGAAGAUGUUAGGGAUUCUUUCUGGUCUCUGGAAGGUGACAAGUGUUUUAUCUCUCCAGAAAGUUAGUGUAAGAUUUUUAUGGACAGCAUCCUAACUGCAGAGUAAAGAAUUCCAAAGCAAUGCUUGUCUUUGCAUAGAAAGAUAUCCUGCUGGAUUCCUCAUGACCUCUGAGGGGACCUGUAACCAAAGAAGCUCUGAAACAUAUCAAUACCACUCUGAGUAUUGGCUUAACAAAGUUAUUCAAAUAGUUCUGCCUCCUUGUGUACAGUUCAUCUUUUUCUUCUGUAAGAAGCAGGUACAGAGGACGGUAGUCACUCUUUUGCACAGCACUGUAUUCUCAUCAGUUAGGUGCAAAGUAUCACCCUGCUUCUUAAGGCCAAUCUUGCAACCCUAAAUUGCCUGGGCCCCAUGGCUGUGCCUCUGCACUACCUUUAAAAAAGAAUUAAGAUUAUUUUUUUAAUGUGGUGAAUUCUCUACUUUUGUAAGUCUGGCCCUCAUUUAGUUAUCUAAGUGGGAACUUGAUGCCUUCUGGUCUUGAAUGUUGCUGUAAUAAUUAUUUUGAUUCUGAA
Molecule: long non-coding RNA, 2652 nt
Organism: Grus americana (Whooping crane)
Lineage: Eukaryota; Metazoa; Chordata; Aves; Gruiformes; Gruidae
Exons: 6
Source: RefSeq, a predicted model, not a curated record